GACGAACGCUGGCGGCGUGCCUAAUACAUGCAAGUAGAACGCUGAAGGAGGAGCUUGCUCUUCUGGAUGAGUUGCGAACGGGUGAGUAACGCGUAGGUAACCUGCCUGGUAGCGGGGGAUAACUAUUGGAAACGAUAGCUAAUACCGCAUAACAGUAGAUGUUGCAUGACAUUUACUUAAAAGGUGCAAUUGCAUCACUACCAGAUGGACCUGCGUUGUAUUAGCUAGUUGGUGGGGUAACGGCUCACCAAGGCGACGAUACAUAGCCGAACUGAGAGGGGGGUCGGCCACACUGGGACGGAGACACGGCCCAGACUCCUACGGGAGGCAGCAGUAGGGAAUCUUCGGCAAUGGACGGAAGUCUGACCGAGCAACGCCGCGUGAGUGAAGAAGGUUGUCGGAUCGUAAAGCUCGGUUGUAAGAGAAGAACGAGUGUGAGAGUGGAAAGUUCACACUGUGACGGUAUCUUACCAGAAAGGGACGGCUAACUACGUG
Molecule: ribosomal RNA, 495 nt
Filed under: uncultured bacterium
Lineage: Bacteria
Description: partial 16S ribosomal RNA
Rfam family: Bacterial small subunit ribosomal RNA
Source: RNAcentral